This 468-nucleotide ribosomal RNA is filed under the name uncultured bacterium. Its description in RNAcentral is "partial 16S ribosomal RNA". It matches the Rfam family "Bacterial small subunit ribosomal RNA", at positions 28 to 507 of the family's 1533-position model. The record is from RNAcentral.
GACGAACGCUGGCGGCGUGCUUAACACAUGCAAGUCGAACGGAAAGGCCCUGCUUUUGUGGGGUGCUCGAGUGGCGAACGGGUGAGUAACACGUGAGUAACCUGCCCUAGACUUUGGGAUAACUUCAGGAAACUGGGGCUAAUGCCGGAUAGGAGCUCCUGCUGCAUGGUGGGGGUUGGAAAGUUUCGGCGGUUGGGGAUGGACUCGCGGCUUAUCAGCUUGUUGGUGGGGUAGUGGCUUACCAAGGCUUUGACGGGUAGCCGGCCUGAGAGGGUGACCGGCCACAUUGGGACUGAGAUACGGCCCAGACUCCUACGGGAGGCAGCAGUGGGGAAUAUUGCACAAUGGGCGGAAGCCUGAUGCAGCAACGCCGCGUGCGGGAUGACGGCCUUCGGGUUGUAAACCGCUUUCGCCUGCGACGAAGCGUGAGUGACGGUAAUGGGUAAAGAAGCACCGGCUAACUACGUG